Molecule: ribosomal RNA, 274 nt
Filed under: uncultured bacterium
Lineage: Bacteria
Description: partial 16S ribosomal RNA
Rfam family: Bacterial small subunit ribosomal RNA
Source: RNAcentral
AUACGGAGGGUGCGAGCGUUAAUCGGAAUUACUGGGCGUAAAGCGCGCGUAGGCGGUUCGAUAAGUCUGAUGUGAAAGCCCUGGGCUUAACCUGGGAAUGGCAUUGGAUACUGUUGAACUAGAGUGCGGGAGAGGAGAGUGGAAUUCUCGGUGUAGCGGUGAAAUGCGUAGAUAUCGGGAGGAACACCAGUGGCGAAGGCGGCUCUCUGGACUGACACUGACGCUGAGGUGCGAAAGCGCGGGUAGCAAACAGGAUUAGAAACCCCUGUAGUCC